CAUGACUGCAAUGUUUAUUUAACACUAAUGUUUUUACAAAGGAUACGGCUACUGUAAUUAUAAUUGUAUAUUGAUAGUACUGACCUAUUGGGAGCUGCACACACCUCUCACCGCACCGUCUCAAUUGUGACUGCACAAACAAGUUGCCACGUAGCUGUAGAUGAGUCCAAUCGUAAUCAGCUGGCAAGUCUGACUACACCUUAUCAGAAGAAUUUUGCUUAUCUGGAGGGUAAGCUGUGGA
This is a long non-coding RNA of Sphaeramia orbicularis (orbiculate cardinalfish), 241 nucleotides long. RefSeq lists it as uncharacterized. The record is from RefSeq and is a predicted model, not a curated record. The transcript is spliced from 2 exons. Lineage: Eukaryota; Metazoa; Chordata; Actinopteri; Kurtiformes; Apogonidae.